This 465-nucleotide ribosomal RNA is filed under the name Vreelandella stevensii. Its description in RNAcentral is "partial 16S ribosomal RNA". It matches the Rfam family "Bacterial small subunit ribosomal RNA", at positions 338 to 795 of the family's 1533-position model. Lineage: Bacteria; Pseudomonadati; Pseudomonadota; Gammaproteobacteria; Oceanospirillales; Halomonadaceae. The record is from RNAcentral.
CCUACGGGGGGCAGCAGUGGGGAAUAUUGGACAAUGGGGGGAACCCUGAUCCAGCCAUGCCGCGUGUGUGAAGAAGGCCCUCGGGUUGUAAAGCACUUUCAGUGAGGAAGAACGCCUGGUGGUUAAUACCCAUCAGGAAAGACAUCACUCACAGAAGAAGCACCGGCUAACUCCGUGCCAGCAGCCGCGGUAAUACGGAGGGUGCGAGCGUUAAUCGGAAUUACUGGGCGUAAAGCGCGCGUAGGUGGCUUGAUAAGCCGGUUGUGAAAGCCCCGGGCUCAACCUGGGAACGGCAUCCGGAACUGUCAAGCUAGAGUACAGGAGAGGAAGGUAGAAUUCCCGGUGUAGCGGUGAAAUGCGUAGAGAUCGGGAGGAAUACCAGUGGCGAAGGCGGCCUUCUGGACUGACACUGACACUGAGGUGCGAAAGCGUGGGUAGCAAACAGGAUUAGAUACCCCUGUAGUC